GAGCGCUUAGCUCAGUCGGUAGAGCAACUGACUUUUAAUCAGUAGGUCCAGGGUUCGAAUCCCUGAGCGCUCACCA
Molecule: transfer RNA, 76 nt
Filed under: Hyphomicrobiales bacterium
Lineage: Bacteria; Pseudomonadati; Pseudomonadota; Alphaproteobacteria; Hyphomicrobiales
Also listed under: 2 other names
Description: tRNA-Lys
Rfam family: tRNA
About the family: Transfer RNA (tRNA) molecules are approximately 80 nucleotides in length.
Source: RNAcentral